ACUGCCUUGGCAGAAUAGUGCGUUAAAUUUAGGGUUUAAAAAAUAUGUUGAUAAAUUAUAGGUAGUA
RNAcentral lists this transfer RNA (67 nucleotides) under Andrena chekiangensis. RNAcentral's name for it is "tRNA-Leu". Lineage: Eukaryota; Metazoa; Arthropoda; Insecta; Hymenoptera; Andrenidae. The record is from RNAcentral.